UAAAACCUUCUCCAAUCCAACACUAAAAAUCACACUAUUUUAGUGUAACACUAUAAUUUUACACCAAAUUUGGUGUGACACUAUUCACCACACUAAAACACUAUUCACUCCACUAAAAUACUAUUCACUUAUUUUAUUAAUAAAUUAUAUUAUUAAAAACGAAAAUUUAAAUAAAUUAAAUAAAUAUAAUAUUAUAAAAUAGCUUUUUUAGUGUGAAGUUUAGUGUUGUGGUUGGAGAUGAAUUUGUUUUUAGUGUUGAAACUACACUAAAAUAGUGU
RNAcentral lists this long non-coding RNA (278 nucleotides) under Brassica rapa (field mustard). RNAcentral's name for it is "long non-coding RNA (BRAP_LNC000901)". The record is from RNAcentral. Lineage: Eukaryota; Viridiplantae; Streptophyta; Magnoliopsida; Brassicales; Brassicaceae.